GGGAUAACAUUCUGAAAAGAAUGCUAAUACCGCAUGACAUAUCGGAACCACAUGGUUUUGAUAUCAAAGAUUUUAUCGCUUGAAGAUGGACUCGCGUCCGAUUAGUUAGUUGGUGAGGUAACGGCUCACCAAGACCGCGAUCGGUAGCCGGACUGAGAGGUUGAACGGCCACAUUGGGACUGAGACACGGCCCAGACUCCUACGGGAGGCAGCAGUGGGGGAUAUUGCGCAAUGGGGGCAACCCUGACGCAGCAACGCCGCGUGAAGGAUGAAGGUUUUCGGAUUGUAAACUUCUUUUAUUAAGGACGAAAAAUGACGGUACUUAAUGAAUAAGCUCCGGCUAACUACGUGCCAGCAGCCGCGGUAAUACGUAGGGAGCAAGCGUUGUCCGGAUUUACUGGGUGUAAAGGGUGCGUAGGCGGCUUUGCAAGUCAGAUGUGAAAUCUAUGGGCUCAACCCAUAAACUGCAUUUGAAACUGUAGAGCUUGAGUGAAGUAGAGGCAGGCGGAAUUCCCCGUGUAGCGGUGAAAUGCGUAGAGAUGGGGAGGAACACCAGUGGCGAAGGCGGCCUGCUGGGCUUUAACUGACGCUGAGGCACGAAAGCGUGGGUAGCAAACAGGAUUAGAUACCCUGGUAGUCCACGCUGUAAACGAUGAUUACUAGGUGUGGGGGGUCUGACCCCUUCCGUGCCGGAG
Molecule: ribosomal RNA, 695 nt
Filed under: uncultured bacterium
Lineage: Bacteria
Description: bacterial SSU rRNA
Rfam family: Bacterial small subunit ribosomal RNA
Source: RNAcentral